Molecule: long non-coding RNA, 1712 nt
Organism: Physcomitrium patens
Lineage: Eukaryota; Viridiplantae; Streptophyta; Bryopsida; Funariales; Funariaceae
Source: RefSeq, a predicted model, not a curated record
CCAUCCCACAAUUACCCUUCAAUCCCAUCCCUCGUAGUUCACUGUGGGUCUAAGAGGUGGCUAGAAGUUCAAUGGGAAUGUGCUGUUACCUAUGUUGUUUUGCUUAGUUUUCGACCACCAUCACGUUGUGGCGAGUUGUGUUCGGUUUGAUGGGUGUUGUGAGUGAAGGAUUUAGGUUUUAGCUGUUAUGCCCAUGAUGGUUACCUCUAUGGGCGUUAGCUGUGGGUGGUGCUGGGACCUUGUUUGACAAGGAGAACCUCCUCAGCAUUCCACCUGCAUUUCUGUGACGCUACAAUGUAAACUGAGGCUUUCUAGUGGAUGCUACAACGUCUCAAGGUUGGUAUGCUUGUGUUUGAACAUGGCUCUUCUCUGGUUGUAAUAGAGCCGCUGAUGAAGAAAAUACCCAAAUUUCUGACUUCUGUGAUGAGCAUUGAAUCACCAUCUUUCGACUGAGGCUUGAUUUGUGGGGAGGAGUGUGGAGGAAGGCUGGAUGAAGUUAGAAUACAUAGACCUGUCCUGAACUACAUGUUGAAUAAACAUGCACUACCAACUGACAGCUUUCUGGAGAGGAUGUUGUUAGGACUCACGGGUUUGAGUAACUGGAAUGACGGGAAUUGUAUCCUUGGCGCGGUGCAAUUCUAGCAUCUCGGGGUGGCCAUUGCAUUCAUGUGAUGCACUUGUGGCCGCAGAAUCCUUUGCUAACGUCGUAGAUCAACUUUUUUCACGUGACGUUUCCUCUGCGCAUUCCUGUGUGGAGGAUUCAUCUGUGGAAUCGAGGUCGCAUAUUCCAUUGUCCUAGGGAGCAGCGUUGCUGCAAUUACUCUUUGGGACAGACCAUGCAAUCUACAGAGACUCAUUAGAUGGUUUCACUUAUUGAAGCCGUUAGUGAUUACCACCAUUUAGAAUACUAUCUUUCGGAUUGUUGUCACCUUCGGGUGGCAACGACACUGCAAAGAAUGACGGCGUCAAUGACAAGAGGGGUGAGAUCAAGAUUGUCUGUCUCACCCCUCUAUGUUUGAUGGAACAUAGAGGGGUGAGAUCAAGAUGCAAAAACUGAGGUCACUGAUGGCGAUCAUGAGCUGAUCUCGCGUCAGUUGCAGAUAAAGUGAACGCAUUAUUUUUAGGUGCUUUUCACGAGCAUGCCAGCUCGGUGCUUCGUCCAGACGCUGCAGCUGCGCUCUGCGUAAAUUCACUGAAGGAGAUCGUGAUGUGUCUCUAAACAUGCGGCGCACCUGCCAACGAAAUCUUCUCCCUGGCGUAGCACCCUCAUCAAAGGAGCCCUUCUCAAACACCUACUCCUUCAAUUACCUCUUCUUCUAUAACCUAGAAGCAUGAGAGUGCUGAGUGCACCCAACUUUAUAUUUACUUGUAAAAUGUACCGUACCUGCAGCAUGUCAUGAAAAUAGACAAAACGUGAUACUUGGCAUUGUGCCAUGCAGUGAAAAACAACAAAGUCUAAGUUAGAGCAGAAUCAGUCCACGCAUCAGCACGAGAAAUCAUGAUCUAAAGAAAAGGGUGGAAAUGAAGAAAACAUUGUAACACCACCGCAGAAUUGCUCAGAUAUGGUAGUCUAACUUCAUAUAGGCAGUAAGCCUAAUCCAAUCCUAAGACCUGGUGAAAUAGGCCAAGUCAAAGCCACUGUAUUGGUGUAAAUCUCAUUUGCAUUAAUAUAUAAUGAAGCAUGCCCAAUCUGCAGUCAUUUACAACACCCA